Molecule: non-coding RNA, 93 nt
Organism: Parascedosporium putredinis
Lineage: Eukaryota; Fungi; Ascomycota; Sordariomycetes; Microascales; Microascaceae
Source: the annotation of a GenBank genome assembly
GGUCGUAUGGUCUAGUGGUUAGGACUCCGGAUUUUGAUUACGCAAUCAGCCAAAUGGUUUCCGGCAGCCCCGGUUCGAACCCGGGUACGACCU